This 460-nucleotide ribosomal RNA is filed under the name uncultured bacterium. RNAcentral describes it as "partial 16S ribosomal RNA". It matches the Rfam family "Bacterial small subunit ribosomal RNA", at positions 338 to 795 of the family's 1533-position model. The record is from RNAcentral.
CCUACGGGAGGCUGCAGUGAGGAAUAUUGGUCAAUGGACGAGAGUCUGAACCAGCCACGCCGCGUGAAGGAUGACUGCUCUAUGGGUUGUAAACUUCUUUUAUAUGGGAGUAAAACAGGGUAUGCAUACCCUCUUGUAAGUAUCCUAUGAAUAAGGAUCGGCUAACUCCGUGCCAGCAGCCGCGGUAAUACGGAGGAUCCGAGCGUUAUCCGGAUUUAUUGGGUUUAAAGGGUGCGUAGGUGGUUUGAUAAGUUAGUGGUGAAAGGUUGAGGCUCAACCGGAAAAUUGCAGUUGAAACUGGCAGACUUGAGUACAGUAGAGGUAGGCGGAAUGCGUGGUGUAGCGGUGAAAUGCUUAGAGAUCACGAAGAACACCGAUUGCGAAGGCAGCUCACUGGACUGCAACUGACACUGAUGCACGAAAGUGUGGGUAUCAAACAGGAUUAGAUACCCCUGUAGUC